Non-coding RNA from Acanthosepion pharaonis, 108 nucleotides. The record is from the annotation of a GenBank genome assembly. Lineage: Eukaryota; Metazoa; Mollusca; Cephalopoda; Sepiida; Sepiidae.
CCAUAUCAUGUUAAAAUGCUGUUUCUCGCCCGAUCACCGAAGUUAAGCAACGUCGAGCCUGGUCAAUACUUAGAUAGGUUACUGCUUGGGAAUAGUAGGCACUGUAAG